GACGAACGCUGGCGGCGUGCUUAACACAUGCCAGUCGAACAGUGGCGAACGGGUGAGUAAUGCUUGGGAAUCUGGCUUAUGGAGGGGGAUAACGACGGCAAACUGUCGCUAAUACAGCGUACCAUAGGACGUGCCCAAGUAGGAUUAGGUAGUUGUUGGGGUAAUGGCCUACAAAGCCGACGAUCUCUAGCUGGUCUGAGAGGAUGACCAGCCACACCGGGACUGAGACACGGCCCGGACUCCGACGGGAGGCAGCAGUGGGGAAUAUUGCGCAGUGGGGGCAACCUGACGCAGCCAUGCCGCGUGAAUGAAGAAGGCCUUCGGGUUGUAAAGUUCUUUCGGUGACGAGGCGUUAAUCACAGAAGAAGCACCGGCUAACGCCGUGCCAGCAGCCGCGGGAAUAC
RNAcentral lists this ribosomal RNA (404 nucleotides) under uncultured bacterium. Its description in RNAcentral is "partial 16S ribosomal RNA". It matches the Rfam family "Bacterial small subunit ribosomal RNA", at positions 28 to 526 of the family's 1533-position model. The record is from RNAcentral.